GACGAACGCUGGCGGCGUGCUUAACACAUGCAAGUCGAACGGAAAGGCCUGCUUUCCCUUGUGGAUUGCGGGUACUCGAGUGGCGAACGGGUGAGUAACACGUGAGUGAUCUGCCCCCAACUUGGGUAUAAGCCUGGGAAACUGGGUCUAAUUCCCGAUAGGACUGCAGGGUGGUGCCUGUGGUGGAAAACGAUUUUCUAGUGGUUGGGGAUGAGCUCGCGGCCUAUCAGCUUGUUGGUGGGGUAAUGGCCUACCAAGGCGGCGACGGGUAGCCGGCCUGAGAGGGUGGACGGCCACAUUGGGACUGAGAUACGGCCCAGACUCCUACGGGAGGCAGCAGUGGGGAAUAUUGCACAAGGGGCGGAAGCCUGAUGCAGCGACGCCGCGUGGGGGAUGACGGCCUUCGGGUUGUAAACUCCUUUCGACCGCGAGGAAGCCACCUAGUUGGAAGGGUGGUGACGGUAGUGGUAGAAGAAGCACCGGCUAACUACGUG
This 494-nucleotide ribosomal RNA is filed under the name uncultured bacterium. Its description in RNAcentral is "partial 16S ribosomal RNA". It matches the Rfam family "Bacterial small subunit ribosomal RNA", at positions 28 to 507 of the family's 1533-position model. The record is from RNAcentral.